AUUGAACGCUGGCGGCGGGCUUAACACAUGCAAGUCGAGCGGGGUGAUGGUGCUUGCACUAUCACUUAGCGGCGGACGGGUGAGUAAUGCUUAGGAAUCUGCCUAUUAGUGGGGGACAACAUCUCGAAAGGGAUGCUAAUACCGCAUACGUCCUACGGGAGAAAGCAGGGGAUCACUUGUGACCUUGCGCUAAUAGAUGAGCCUAAGUCGGAUUAGCUAGUGGGUGGGGUAAAGGCCUACCAAGGCGACGAUCUGUAGCGGGUCUGAGAGGAUGAUCCGCCACACUGGGACUGAGACACGGCCCAGACGCCUACGGGAGGCAGAAGUGGGGAAUAUUGGACAAUGGGGGGAACCCUGAUCCAGCCAUGCCGCGUGUGUGAAGAAGGCCUUAUGGUUGUAAAGCACUUUAAGCGAGGAGGAGGCUCUUUUGGUUAAUACCCAAGAUGAGUGGACGUUACUCGCAGAAUAAGCACCGGCUAACUCUGUGCCAGCAGCCGCAGUAA
This 503-nucleotide ribosomal RNA is filed under the name uncultured bacterium. RNAcentral's name for it is "partial 16S ribosomal RNA". It matches the Rfam family "Bacterial small subunit ribosomal RNA", at positions 30 to 523 of the family's 1533-position model. The record is from RNAcentral.